ACUGUCUGAAAAUCAUUUCUGGCCUUUUUCGGUGGCCUUGGAUGAGAUAAUGGUGCCCACAGUAACGGGAGCGUUAAGCUUAUUGCCUGUAAGCAUGAAGUAUGGGCAAUAAAACCCACGCUCCUAUAUGU
Small nucleolar RNA from Hemicordylus capensis (graceful crag lizard), 131 nucleotides. RefSeq annotates it as small nucleolar RNA ACA64. The record is from RefSeq and is a predicted model, not a curated record. NCBI's taxonomy places the organism in Eukaryota, Metazoa, Chordata, Lepidosauria, Squamata, Cordylidae. The transcript has a single exon.